RNAcentral lists this ribosomal RNA (576 nucleotides) under uncultured bacterium. RNAcentral's name for it is "partial 16S ribosomal RNA". It matches the Rfam family "Bacterial small subunit ribosomal RNA", at positions 355 to 923 of the family's 1533-position model. The record is from RNAcentral.
UGGGGAAUUUUGGACAAUGGGCGAAAGCCUGAUCCAGCAAUGCCGCGUGUGUGAAGAAGGCCUUCGGGUUGUAAAGCACUUUUGUCCGGAAAGAAAUCCUUGGCUCUAAUACAGUCGGGGGAUGACGGCACCGGAAGAAUAAGCACCGGCUAACUACGUGCCAGCAGCCGCGGUAAUACGUAGGGUGCAAGCGUUAAUCGGAAUUACUGGGCGUAAAGCGUGCGCAGGCGGUUUGCUAAGACCGAUGUGAAAUCCCCGGGCUCAACCUGGGAACUGCAUUGGUGACUGGCAGGCUAGAGUAUGGCAGAGGGGGGUAGAAUUCCACGUGUAGCAGUGAAAUGCGUAGAGAUGUGGAGGAAUACCGAUGGCGAAGGCAGCCCCCUGGGCCAAUACUGACGCUCAUGCACGAAAGCGUGGGGAGCAAACAGGAUUAGAUACCCUGGUAGUCCACGCCCUAAAACGAUGUCAACUAGUUGUUGGGGAUUCAUUUCCUUAGUAACGUAGCUAACGCGUGAAGUUGACCGCCUGGGGAGCACGGUCGCAAGAUUAAAACUCAAAUGAAUUGACGGGGUCAUA